This 73-nucleotide transfer RNA is filed under the name Tricholoma matsutake. RNAcentral describes it as "tRNA-Arg". It matches the Rfam family "tRNA". From Rfam's summary of the family: Transfer RNA (tRNA) molecules are approximately 80 nucleotides in length. Their secondary structure includes four short double-helical elements and three loops (D, anti-codon, and T loops). RNAcentral also lists the same sequence under 1 other name. Lineage: Eukaryota; Fungi; Basidiomycota; Agaricomycetes; Agaricales; Tricholomataceae. The record is from RNAcentral.
ACAUCUUUAGCUGAAUUGGUAAAGCAUUUGCCUUCGAAGCAAUAGUUUAUUGGUUCGAGUCCAAUAAGAUGUC